GAUGAACCCUGGCGGCGUGCCUAAUACAUGCAAGUCGAGCGAACAGCCGAGAGUGCUUGCACUCUCUGACAUUAGCGGCGGACGGGUGAGUACCACGUGGGUAACCUACCUAUAAGACUGGGAUAACUUCGGGAAACCGGAGCUAAUACCGGAUAAUAUUUAGCUUCGCAUGAAGCAAUAGUGAAAGACGGUUCUGCUGUCACUUAUAGAUGGACCCGCGGUGUAUUAGCUAGUUGGUGAGGUAACGGCUCACCAAGGCAACGAUACAUAGCCGACCUGAGAGGGUGAUCGGCCACACUGGGACUGAGACACGGCCCAGACUCCUACGGGAGGCAGCAGUAGGGAAUCUUCCGCAAUGGACGAAAGUCUGACGGAGCAAUGCCGCGUGAGUGAAGAAGGUUUUCGGAUCGUAAAACUCUGUUGUAAGGGAAGAACAAGUACGUUAGUAACUGAACGUACCUUGACGGUACCUUACCAGAAAGCCACGGCUAACUACGUG
This 499-nucleotide ribosomal RNA is filed under the name uncultured bacterium. Its description in RNAcentral is "partial 16S ribosomal RNA". It matches the Rfam family "Bacterial small subunit ribosomal RNA", at positions 28 to 507 of the family's 1533-position model. The record is from RNAcentral.